AUUUACAUAUCUUACAUAGAGUAUUAUAUUGAAGCUAUAAUUGAGACACUGUCUGUAAAUA
RNAcentral lists this transfer RNA (61 nucleotides) under Hyalella sp. 30-5C. Its description in RNAcentral is "tRNA-Phe". Lineage: Eukaryota; Metazoa; Arthropoda; Malacostraca; Amphipoda; Hyalellidae. The record is from RNAcentral.